Molecule: ribosomal RNA, 373 nt
Filed under: Staphylococcus carnosus
Lineage: Bacteria; Bacillati; Bacillota; Bacilli; Caryophanales; Staphylococcaceae
Description: bacterial SSU rRNA
Rfam family: Bacterial small subunit ribosomal RNA
Source: RNAcentral
UGCUCCUCUGAYGUUAGCGGCGGACGGGUGAGUAACACGUGGGUAACCUACCUAUAAGACUGGAAUAACUCCGGGAAACCGGGGCUAAUGCCGGAUAAUAUGCAGAACCGCAUGGUUCUGCAAUGAAAGACGGUUUUGCUGUCACUUAUAGAUGGACCCGCGCCGUAUUAGCUAGUUGGUAAGGUAACGGCUUACCAAGGCAACGAUACGUAGCCGACCUGAGAGGGUGAUCGGCCACACUGGAACUGAGACACGGUCCAGACUCCUACGGGAGGCAGCAGUAGGGAAUCUUCCGCAAUGGGCGAAAGCCUGACGGAGCAACGCCGCGUGAGUGAUGAAGGUCUUCGGAUCGUAAAACUCUGUUAUUAGGGAA